This 310-nucleotide ribosomal RNA is filed under the name uncultured eukaryote. Its description in RNAcentral is "partial 18S ribosomal RNA". It matches the Rfam family "Eukaryotic small subunit ribosomal RNA", at positions 1470 to 1796 of the family's 1831-position model. The record is from RNAcentral.
CCCUUAGAUGUUCUGGGCGGCCCGCGCACUACAAUGGCGCUUUCAGCGAGUUCCUAUGUUGAAUUUUCCUUGGUAUUCUUGGAAGCGGCGUCUUGACUUGGGAUAGAUCCUUGUAAUUGUUGGUUUUGAACGAGGAAUUCCUUGUAAUCGCGGUUGAUCAGCUCGCGUUGAAUACGUCCCUGCCCUUUGUACACACCGCCCGUCGCUCCUACCGAUGAAUCGUCCGGUGAAGUUCACAGAGUGGCGGUUCGUGGAGUUGCUCGCGAAGUGAACUGGACCUCACGAUUUAGAGGAAGGAGAAGUCGUAACA